GAUAGCUUGAAGGUCGGCCAUGUGUCCACUCCAGGGAUUCAUCCUGCUGCUGUCACUGGCCUGUGGACGCUGCCAAUAUGCCUCCUUCAGCCAAAGCCCCUCUGAGAUCUCAGUGUCUCCUGACAGAUGGUGGCUCUGGAACGUGCUGUGGCAAACAUCACAGCAGACAAGGUCAACGUCAACUGGAUCCGGCAGAGCCCUGGACAGAAACCCGAAGGGGUGCUGCUCUUCAAAAUAGAUCUGUACAUUUACCGAGCUCCAGGGAUCCCAGAGCGAUACGUCCCCUCCAGAUAUGCCUCCAACAAGAAGUUCUUGCUCACCAUCCGUGAUGUCCACGAAGGAGAUGACUCCAUCUAUUUCUGCUUUGCUUACUAUGGUUCAGCUGGAGUCCAGACGUGGGGAGAGGGGACCCACGUGCAUGUGUUGAAGAAUAAUCUGCCCCAGCCCCGAAUCCAGCUGUUCCCUCCAGCCCAGGAGGAAUCGCCACUGGCUUCACCAUCCUGACCUGCCUAGUGAGCGGCUUCUUCCCUGGCUACAUCAACGCGCUGUGGAGGUGAGACUGCCAGACCCAGGCCCAGGGGGUGAGAACGGUGCUGGUCGCACUGGGAGAAGACAAGACCUACUUAGGGAGCAGCUACCUGACACUGCCAGCCAGCGAGUGGGACUUGGGUGCCAGCUAUAGCUGUGUGGUCAAGCAUGAAUCACUGGCAUCCACCCUGGAGGAGAGCAUCAGUGCCAAGGACUGAAAAAGACAGUAGCCCAGUGGAGAGCCUCUGCUCCCAGAUCCCAGGGGCCCUGCCAGGUUCAACCUCCCCCAUUCCCAUCUGCCAGGCUGGGAAACCCCCUCAGCUUGGACGAAUACAGUCCCUCGUCCAGAGCAACCUCCCCCCAUGACCUGACACUCCCUGAGAUCCCGCCCAGCAGCAUCCCUUCAACAGCAGCAGAUCCACUUCUGCCUUGCUUUUGGGGGGGGGCAAGGACCCAGCCUGGGCUGGGGGCAGAGCUGAACCCAAGAUGCAAAGCUUCAGUCCUGGUUCUCCAGACCAUACCUGGUUCCUUUUGCAAAUCUGUCUAGCCUACUAUCCCUUCUCCUACCCCACUGUCUGUCUGUCCGGCCCCUCUGUUUCUUUUCACAUGCACUCAUCCCUCCAUACACAGCCCUCCUCUCUCUCCAUCCAGCCAUGUACACCCCUCUCCCCAUGGUUUUACGGAUCUAUGUAUCAAUGCUGCUUGUUUCCUCUCUACUUAUUCAUCUCACCCCACUAUUGACCCAAUGUACACGUCUAUUUACCUACCAAUCCAUCCAUCCAACUAAUCUCCACGCAUGCUCCCUUCUCAGCAGCAGUUUAGUAAGCCAGCAUUUAUAAAGUGGAAGAAAAAGCAAAGACAAUAAAAGAAAACUUGAUACCAAAUUCAUUGCUUUGUACUUUUUUUUUAAAGCAAAACAAACAUAUC
This is a non-coding RNA of Dermochelys coriacea (leatherback sea turtle), 1455 nucleotides long. The record is from the annotation of a RefSeq genome assembly. Lineage: Eukaryota; Metazoa; Chordata; Testudines; Dermochelyidae.